RNAcentral lists this transfer RNA (72 nucleotides) under Camelus bactrianus (Bactrian camel). It matches the Rfam family "tRNA". From Rfam's summary of the family: Transfer RNA (tRNA) molecules are approximately 80 nucleotides in length. The record is from Rfam by way of RNAcentral. Lineage: Eukaryota; Metazoa; Chordata; Mammalia; Artiodactyla; Camelidae. RNAcentral also lists the same sequence under 1 other name.
GGAGGGGUGGCUCAGUGGUAGAGCGUGUGCUUAGUAUGCAUGAGGUCCUGGGUUCAAACCCCAAUGCCUCCA